Phyllostomus discolor (pale spear-nosed bat) is the source of this 102-nucleotide small nuclear RNA. Lineage: Eukaryota; Metazoa; Chordata; Mammalia; Chiroptera; Phyllostomidae. The record is from RefSeq and is a predicted model, not a curated record.
AUGCUCACAUCAGCAGCACGUAUGUUAAAAUGGAAUGAUACAGAGCUUAGCGUGGCCCCUCACAAGGACAACACACAAAUUCAUGAUGCCUUCCAUAUUUGA